This 263-nucleotide signal recognition particle RNA is filed under the name Chloroflexota bacterium. RNAcentral describes it as "Chloroflexi bacterium signal recognition particle sRNA large type". It matches the Rfam family "Bacterial large signal recognition particle RNA". Rfam says of the family: The signal recognition particle (SRP) is a universally conserved ribonucleoprotein involved in the co-translational targeting of proteins to membranes. Archaeal SRP consists of a 7S RNA and homologues of the eukaryotic SRP19 and SRP54 proteins. In most bacteria, the SRP consists of a 4.5S RNA and the Ffh protein (a homologue of the eukaryotic SRP54 protein). The record is from RNAcentral. Lineage: Bacteria; Bacillati; Chloroflexota.
UCGUGCUAGACGGGGAACUAGCGGUGCCCUGUACCCGCAAUCCGCUUUAGCGGGGUUGAAUUCCCGUCCGAGGGCAGUCCCUAUGAGAACUGGCGCAGCAAAGCGGUGUUGAUGUCUGGGUCCCGUGCGGCGAGCCGUUAUGAACCCCGUCAGAUCCGAGAGGAAGCAGCGGUAAGUAGUUGGUCUCGGGCGCCACGGGUUCGCCUGGGCUGAGCUGGCUGGCGGCGAGAAGCUCAUGGUGCCGUUCGACGACGGGUGCACGA